AGCCGAAUUAAGGUGAAACCGCGAAAGGCUCAUUAAAUCAGUUAUGGUUCCUUAGAUCGUACCCACAUUUACUUGGAUAACUGUGGUAAUUCUAGAGCUAAUACAUGCAAAUAGAGCUCCGACCGGAGACGGAAGGAGCGCUUUUAUUAGAUCAAAACCAAUCGGCGGCGGGUUCGCGCUCGUCGUCGUACCGACUGGUGAAUCUGAAUAACUUUGCUGAUCGCAUGGUCUCGCACCGGCGACGCAUCUUUCAAAUGUCUGCCUUAUCAACUGUCGAUGGUAGGUUCUGCGCCUACCAUGGUUGUAACGGGUAACGGGGAAUCAGGGUUCGAUUCCGGAGAGGGAGCCUGAGAAACGGCUACCACAUCCAAGGAAGGCAGCAGGCGCGCAAAUUACCCACUCCCGGCACGGGGAGGUAGUGACGAAAAAUAACGAUACGGGACUCAUCCGAGGCCCCGUAAUCGGAAUGAGUACAAUCUAAACCCUUUAACGAGGAUCAAUUGGAGGGCAAGUCUGGUGCCAGCAGCCGCGGUAAUUCCAGCUCCAAUAGCGUAUAUUAAAGUUGUUGCGGUUAAAAAGCUCGUAGUCGAAUCUGUGUCCCGCGCCGCCGGUUCAUCGCACGCGGUGUUUAACUGGCGUGUCCGCGGGACGUUCCUGCCGGUGGGCUCUGCCGUCGUUCGCGUCGGCGGCCCAACUCAAUCCCACCGCGGUGCUCUUUGCUGAGUGUCGAGGUGGGCCGGCACGUUUACUUUGAACAAAUUAGAGUGCUUAAAGCAGGCUAAAACUUCGCCUGAAUACCGUGUGCAUGGAAUAAUGGAAUAGGACCUCGGUUCUAUUUUGUUGGUUUUCGGAACCCCGAGGUAAUGAUUAAUAGGAACGGAUGGGGGCAUUCGUAUUGCGACGUUAGAGGUGAAAUUCUUGGAUCGUCGCAAGACGAACAGAAGCGAAAGCAUUUGCCAAAAACGUUUUCAUUGAUCAAGAACGAAAGUUAGAGGUUCGAAGGCGAUCAGAUACCGCCCUAGUUCUAACCAUAAACGAUGCCAGCUAGCGAUCCGCCGACGUUCCAUCGAUGACUCGGCGGGCAGCUUCCGGGAAACCAAAGCUUUUGGGUUCCGGGGGAAGUAUGGUUGCAAAGCUGAAACUUAAAGGAAUUGACGGAAGGGCACCACCAGGAGUGGAGCCUGCGGCUUAAUUUGACUCAACACGGGAAACCUCACCAGGCCCGGACACCGGAAGGAUUGACAGAUUGAGAGCUCUUUCUUGAUUCGGUGGGUGGUGGUGCAUGGCCGUUCUUAGUUGGUGGAGCGAUUUGUCUGGUUAAUUCCGAUAACGAACGAGACUCUAGCCUGCUAAAUAGGCGUAUUUCCGACAUCCCAAAGGCCCGCCGGUCCGGCGUUCGCGUCGCGGCCGCGCGCGGUUUUUACUGUCGGCGUACACACAAUUCUUCUUAGAGGGACAGGCGGCUUCUAGCCGCACGAGAUUGAGCAAUAACAGGUCUGUGAUGCCCUUAGAUGUUCUGGGCCGCACGCGCGCUACACUGAAGGAAUCAGCGUGUCCUCCCUGGCCGAGAGGCCCGGGUAACCCGCUGAACCUCCUUCGUGCUAGGGAUUGGGGCUUGCAAUUGUUCCCCAUGAACGAGGAAUUCCCAGUAAGCGCGAGUCAUAAGCUCGCGUUGAUUACGUCCCUGCCCUUUGUACACACCGCCCGUCGCUACUACCGAUUGAAUGAUUUAGUGAGGUCUUCGGACCGG
Molecule: ribosomal RNA, 1750 nt
Filed under: Taphrocerus shannoni
Lineage: Eukaryota; Metazoa; Arthropoda; Insecta; Coleoptera; Buprestidae
Description: SSU rRNA
Rfam family: Eukaryotic small subunit ribosomal RNA
Source: RNAcentral